This 253-nucleotide ribosomal RNA is filed under the name uncultured bacterium. RNAcentral's name for it is "partial 16S ribosomal RNA". It matches the Rfam family "Bacterial small subunit ribosomal RNA", at positions 524 to 776 of the family's 1533-position model. The record is from RNAcentral.
GACGAACCGUGCAAACGUUGUUCGGAAUCACUGGGCUUAAAGGGCGCGUAGGCGGGCCAGCCAGUCUGUGGUAAAAGCCUCCAGCUUAACUGGAGAAGUGCCGUGGAUACUGCUGGCCUCGAGGAGGAUAGGGGCAUCUGGAACGGUCGGUGGAGCGGUGAAAUGCGUUGAUAUCGACCGGAACUCCGGUGGCGAAGGCGAGGUGCUGGGUCCUUUCUGACGCUGAUGCGCGAAAGCCAGGGGAGCAAACGGG